CGGAGAUCCUAUAGACAUGCAAAGCAACAACCAUAGCAACUACAACAACAGCAGCAACAAUCAUCCCCAAAAUAGCCACACAUCGACCAGCUGGUCAUCGGAUUCCGGUGAGCCUUGUGGAUCUACAGGUAACAAAUGGGCAUCAAAGCUUCUUAGGGAGUGUGCAAGAGCCAUCUCCGACAAGGACUCAUGCAAAAUCCACCAACAAUCAUCCCCAAAAUAGCCACACA
Molecule: unclassified non-coding RNA, 230 nt
Filed under: Hevea brasiliensis (rubber tree)
Lineage: Eukaryota; Viridiplantae; Streptophyta; Magnoliopsida; Malpighiales; Euphorbiaceae
Source: RNAcentral